Molecule: ribosomal RNA, 465 nt
Filed under: uncultured bacterium
Lineage: Bacteria
Description: partial 16S ribosomal RNA
Rfam family: Bacterial small subunit ribosomal RNA
Source: RNAcentral
GACGAACGCUGGCGGCCUGCUUAACACAUGCAAGUCGAGCGAGGCCCCUCCUUCGGGAGGGUGUCCUAGCGGCGAACGGGUGAGUAACACGUGGGCAACCUGCCCUCAGCUCUGGGAUAACUCCGGGAAACCGGGGCUAAUACCGGAUACGACCUCCACGGGCAUCUGCGGAGGUGGAAAGUUUUUCGGCUGAGGAUGGGCCCGCGGCCUAUCAGCUAGUUGGUGGGGUAGUGGCCCACCAAGGCGACGACGGGUAGCCGGCCUGAGAGGGCGACCGGCCACACUGGGACUGAGACACGGCCCAGACUCCUACGGGAGGCAGCAGUGGGGAAUAUUGCGCAAUGGGCGAAAGCCUGACGCAGCGACGCCGCGUGAGGGACGAAGGCCUUCGGGUUGUAAACCUCUUUCAGCAGGGACGAAGCGAAAGUGACGGUACCUGCAGAAGAAGCACCGGCCAACUACGUG